UACGUAGGGUGCGAGCGUUAAUCGGAAUUACUGGGCGUAAAGCGUGCGUAGGCGGUCCGCGAAGUCUGAUGUGAAAUCCCCGGGCUUAACCUGGGAACUGCACUUGAAACUACGAUGCUGGAGUAUGGCAGAGGGAGGUGGAAUUCCACGUGUAGCGGUGAAAUGCGUAGAGAUGUGGAGGAACACCGAUGGCGAAGGCAGCCUCCUGGGCCAAUACUGACGCUCAUGCACGAAAGCGUGGGGAGCAAACAGG
RNAcentral lists this ribosomal RNA (253 nucleotides) under uncultured bacterium. RNAcentral describes it as "partial 16S ribosomal RNA". It matches the Rfam family "Bacterial small subunit ribosomal RNA", at positions 524 to 776 of the family's 1533-position model. The record is from RNAcentral.